ACUGACUAGGCCGGCGUUGGGUGGAAUAGGCAGCGGCUGGAAGGCCCGCACGCCGCCCUCGGCCCGCCGCGGCGCGCAGACCCCGGCGUGCAGACAUGCGCGCUAGGGCCGGUGUCACCGGGCUGCCGCCUGAGCCGCGCUGCGCGUGCGCAGGGCAGCGUGGCCGUCACCGCCGCCGGUGGAAGUUUCCGAGCAGCCGGGCGGGGGCAGCGGACGCCACCGCAGGCGCUUCCCCCGCCGGCCGGCCCUCCCUCCUGACGUAAGGGCGGGCCCCGGUCGCAGAUCCCGCCCCAGGUCUCUCAUCCGAGGGUCCGUGCAGCAGGUCACGCUGCGCUCUCUGGGGUCCGCGCGUCGGCCCACGUGCUCCCUGCACCUCGCGGGGUGAGCGGCCAGCGUGCCGUGCCGGGUGGCUGGCUCCGCCGCUCCGGAGCCGGGAAGGACACGCGGCAGAGUCCUGCUCCCUAGCGGGUCUGCUUACAGGCGUUUGGUUUGCUUUUUAAAAUGAUUUUCUAUGCGAAAAGUGAAGUGAAAACUUCCAAGUUAAUUCCCUGGGCAAAAUGGGCAGUGCUAGCCGAGGAACGGCUGGUGGGCGGCGCGUCCGGCCCCCGGCUUCGGUUUUUCCAGCUGCACCGAGCGGGCAGGAGUCAGUGGGAAACCGCCCGCCAUCCACAGCCUGCCGUUUGCCAUCCCGGUGUCCCGAGCGCGAUGGAAGCCGGGUUGACAGUGGCACUGUUUGGAAUACAGCGCCAACCACACAUCCUGUGAGGUCCAAAGCAAACGCCAGUGUCGUUGAUCAUCGCGGUGCCCCGCGAGCCUGGGCGACGUGAGGCCCCGCGGCUGCCGCCCUGUCUUCAGGCGGAGUCCCCGCAAAUGCACUCCCGGGCCAGGGCCCUGAAGCUGCCUUAGCCCAGUGGCGCCCGGGCUCCAAGCCUUUUAAGUAGAACGGGACCUGGCCUUCGUACAGGCGUGUUGUAAAUGCUACCCCCUCGUCUCCAGCACAGAUGAGUAGACAUUACUAAGCACUUGACCCUUCAAACAUCGCCCCAACAGGAAAGGUCCGUGUGUUGCAUACAAAGGCUUUGGGGCAAGUGGUGGUGGUUAGUAAUGAAAAUGAAUGUUUCAGACGUUUUCAAAUACCUUCAUAUUGUACACGUGGAAAUCAUGACCAAGGAUUAGAACGUGCAUUCAGUAAACUACAGAAAAUCACACACAAGUCAAACGGCCGUUAUUCUGGAGCUGUUUGCUUCCAAUGGCUCAGUCCAAAAUCCUUGGUCAUGCCUGGCUCCUCUCUCUGUCCACAAUGAACACAUCCUCUUGGCUCCACUGCCCGAAACAACCAGAACCCAACUGCUACCCCUCCUCCUCCCUCCACCCCUCUUUCCCCGCCACCCGUCCAUUUUAAAGCAGUGCCUUCUAGCUGGUUUCCCACAUUCUGCACAGCUGCUCGUGUGAUCCUUUUUAAAAAACAAAAAAGAUGUUACUAUUUUAAAAAUCAUCUCAUGCCACUCUUAGAAUACUAUGCAGCCGUAAAAAGGAAUGAGAUCAUGACCUUUGUGGGGACAUGAAUGGAGGUGGAAGCCACUAUCCUCAGCAAACUAACACAGGAACAGAAAACCAAACACCGCAUGUUCUCAGUAAUAAGGGGGAGCUGAGCAAUGAGAAUGCAUCGACACAGGGAGGGGAACAACACACACCGGGACCUGUUGGGGGUUAGGGGAAGGGAGAGCAUCAGGAUAAAUAGCUAAUGCAUGCAGGGCUUAAUGCCUAGGUGAUGGGUUCACAAGUGCAGCAAACCACCAUGGCACACAUUUACCUAUGUAACAAACCUGCACGUCUUGCACGUGUAUCCCAGAAUUUAAAGUUGACAUUUUAAAAAAUUCAGUCCAUGCCACUCCUCUGCUCAAAACCCUCCAGUGGCUUUCUCAUUCAGCAAAAUGGAACAACCUUGCUAUGACCUGCAAGUCCCUUAUCCCCUGGUCCUUCCCCUCUUCCCCUGCCCUCACCUCCCAGCGCUUUCCCUAGCCCAAACAAUACCAGCCAGAAGCACCCCUGGCACACUCCUGCCUCAGGGCCUUUGCACUUGCUGUUCCAUCUGCCUGACAUGCGUUCCCUCCUCCCCAUCUUAGUGAGGACGUCCAAGUGGCUCUUUAGUCUAAACUGCAAACAUAACCCUCAGCAUCCCGUUUCCCUUCCCCAUUUGCUUUUUCUCCCUUAGUUUCCUGGAGCUGAGUAACAAAAUGUCACAAACUGGGUGGCUUAAAACAACAAACGCAUGCUCUCACAGUCCUAGAGGCUGAACGUCCAAAAUCAAGUUGUCAGCAAGGCCGUGUAUCCUCUGAAGGCUGUAAGGGAGUGUGCCCCAUGCUCUCCUCUCAGCUUCUGGUGUUGCUGGCAAACCGUGGCAUUCCUUGGCUUGUUGGUGCAUCACCCCACUCUCUGACACGUCAUCGCAUGACGUUUCCCUGUGUCCUUGAUUUGUGGAUGCAGCGCUCCACUCUCUGUCAUCAUCAUCGCAUGGCAUUUUCCCUGUGUCCAUGUCUCUUCUCAGAAAGACACCAGUGGCAUUGGAUUAGGGCACCCUAGUGUCUUCCUCCUAACCUGAUUACAUCUGCAAAGAGUUUCCAAAUAAGGUCAUAUUCGCAGGCACCCAGGGUUGGGACUUGAUCAUAUCUUUUUGGGGGACACUAUACCACGUCAUAUGUAUUUUAUCUCAUUUAUCAUUUGUGUCCCCCGCCCCAUUAGAAUGCAUGCUCCGUGAAGAGAGGAUAGGAAUGGCUUGUCCCUGCUGUGUAUCAGCUCAAGGAUUGUCUGACACAUCAGUCCUUGGUGAACAUUGGCAGAAUGACUGGCAGCUGAUUGAUUGGCCCAGCGGGAAUGGACACGGGCAGUUGCCCUUGUCCAGCUUCCAGGAUCUGUUACACAGGCCUAAAGCAACAACCAGAAGCCUUCCUGGGUGUUUACAUUACAGCACACCAGACUGCAGGCACCGCCACCCCAGACUCUGCCUGCAGCUAAAGUCACCAAGUUUGCCGUGCCCCAUAACUGAGGUCAUUGGCAGCCCAGCACCAAGCCUCACUGGCAUCAAGGGCAGCGGGUUAGUAAGCAUGGCUCCACACGGGUAAGCAGUUCUAGGAAAUGGGAAGAAACCCAGACCAUCCAUCUCAGGGUAAGUUUGCUGGAUUUUCUCUCUCUUUUAAGAGUCUUUCAACAGGGCAUACAGCCCAUUCUCAAAUUUAGAUUUCUGUUUUUGUUAAGAACAGGGACUGUGGAACGAAUUUGCCUGACUUUGCCAUCAUUCUGCCAUUUCCUAGCUAUGUGGCCUCAGGCAAACUGAUUAAACUUACUGGCCUCAGAAUGGGGAAAAUUUCUGUAACUCAUGCCUGGAAUUACGUGAAGAUGAAAAGCAGGCAUGUCCAUGAGAUGCUUACAAGAGGGACCAGCGCCGUGUACCUAUUCUGUGCAUCCUACCCGUCCACUGUUCCUUCUCCGUGUUUCUUGAAGAAGCUGGAGUUUUCUUUCAGUCUUCUGCUUCUCCUGUUGCUUCCUCUAACUGAAGGAAGAAUCAGUCCAUGGCUUCUGCUCCAUGCUUUCUGCUCUUGGUUCAGGCUCCAACUUUCCCAUUAAUGGAAGAGAAUGGCUCUCCUGCUCCCAGCUGUAAUGAACUAAUUAAUUUUUCUAUCUCUCUAAUCAUUCUCUAUUCCCUGCCAAACCCUCUGGGUGUCUGUUUUGUUCUAUUGUUCAAGCCUGGACUUUGAGGGUAGGCUGGGGGCAUUGCUAGUCCCCACAAUUGCUAAUCCAGGCACUUGAGUCAUUAUCUUCUAUACAUCACACUUAACAACCAGAGGGAAGUGCAACCUCGUGGGCCUCGGAAAGGAAACCACCCACAGACUUGUGCGCCUUCUUCGCAGGCCAGGCUCUCCUUCCCCCAUGGUAAGAAGGUGAAGACUUGGAGAUUGGUGAGUCAGGCAAUCAAGGUCAAAUUGACAUACUCUAGAAGAUUACAUGCCGUGUGGAACAGUACUGGGCAGUGGACCCACUGGGACAGGGGCUCAGGAGGCUAUGGCAGUCCCGCAGGAGAUUCUGGAGGUAAGGGGUUGAAUGGGGAGCAGCGUUGAUUUGGAUGCAGCAUGGAUUUUGAAGUAGAGCCAGCCAUGGGGAGCUAGUGGGGAGGGAGGCAAAGAGUGAACAAAGCAUCCGUUCGGGUCGGUGGCCUCAGCCAUGGAUGAAAGUCUUAUUUCCUGAGAUGGGGGACACUGGGUGGAGCAGGAAGCAUCCCUCUUUAGGAAAUGCUAGGUUGGAGAUGUCCCUCGUACAUCCCCAGGAGACAGUUGGACACAGAGGCUUGCAUUUAGAAGAGAAGCCAGUCUGGAAAGGGCCGUCACGGAGCAAGCCCUGCCUGGCUGGCAUGUAGCAGAGCUGCAUGGGGUGAGCUCACCCGGGCGGGGACGGGUGUGGAAAGCGCAGAGAAGCAGGGUAAGAGCAGCCUGAGGGUGUGGGGGGAGGUGGAUGGAGACGUGGGCUUGUCAUUUGUCUUUGAGAAUUCGCUGCAUGGCAUUUUAAACCUCUUUAAAUUUCUGAGUAGGUUUGAGGUGUGUGUUGUAAGUUUUCAAGGCCCUAUUCAAUAAAAUAUCUGGGUAAUUACUACACUCAGGAAACUGGCGCAAGUCCACUGAGGCCUAAAAAUAGCAAGUUUACAGACCUGUGGAUUCUUUUCUCAUGACAGUGAGGCCUCACAGGCCCUGCCAGGCAGCCCGGGAGGUGCAGGCCCCCCUUAGAGACACAGACAGAGGCUGGACACAGAGCCUGGCUGGCCGAGACCUUUCCAGUGAAUUCUGUGCCACCAGAAGGACAGGCAUAGGCGAUGGCUGGUGCCCUCACGAGGUCACCAGUGGGCUGUUUGUUGAGAAAAAUGCUGCUUGUAAUUUUACUUUCCUUCUGAAUUUUAGCCGUUUUCUUCUGAAUUUUAGCCAUUACACGGAUGAUGGCUAAAAUCACAAAGGGCACAGAAGCACAAAGGCCAGGGGCAAGGGUGGGGAGAAGCAUGGGACAGCCACAUUCUAAACAUGGUGGUGGCAUCCUUGAAAACGAGUGAAUGACCGAGGCAAUCCAUUUCCGAGGUUUUAAUCACAUACAUAAUCAUUGGUUGUGAAAAAGUGUUUCAACACCAGCGAAGACAUGACCACAAAACCAAUGUUUAGGGAAAAACACAGAAGACAUUAUUCACAGCUGUUGUCUAUUCAUUUACUUCUUUGAAUUGGAAGAGUGGUUUUAGCUGUGAAAUGCCUCCAUGCAGCUGGGAAAACGUGGUCUCUUCCAUAGGAGUAUUUGAGGACCUCAACCCUGGGUCCGGACUCUGGUUUACAAUUGUAGUUCAAGAUGUUGGUAUUGGAAGGAGGGGCCAGGAGAACAAAUCCUCCUACACAAAGAGGCUUGCAGGAGAUGUGUUACUGCCAGGGGGCUGUCCACAGUGUACUUACUUCUCCUUGAAGACACCUUGAGAAAGGACAGCGCAUACUGGUAGUGAUCUUGGCAACCUGUCUUAGGCCAGGCACAGAGGCUGAGAUGGGGGGUCACUUUUUUCUUUUUUUAUUUUUUUUGUUUGUUUGUUUGUUUUGAGACAGAGUCGCACUCUGUCACCCAGGCUGGAGUGCAGUGGCGCAAUCUCAGCUCACUGCAACCCUGCCUCCCGGGUUCAAGUGAUUUUCCUGCCUCAGCCUCCUGAGUAGCUGGGAUUACAGGUGCAUACCACCACUCCUGACUAAUUUUUUUUGUAUUUUUAGUAGAGACGGGGUUUCACCAUGCUGGCCAGGCUGGUCUCAAAACUCCUGACCCCAGGUAAUCUGCCC
RNAcentral lists this long non-coding RNA (5846 nucleotides) under Homo sapiens (human). RNAcentral's name for it is "non-protein coding LINC02102:12". Lineage: Eukaryota; Metazoa; Chordata; Mammalia; Primates; Hominidae. The record is from RNAcentral.